Molecule: non-coding RNA, 365 nt
Organism: Dehalobacter sp. CF
Lineage: Bacteria; Bacillati; Bacillota; Clostridia; Eubacteriales; Desulfitobacteriaceae
Source: Rfam
GAAGUCAACCGGAUGGUCGCGGGGACAAGUGCCGAAAGGCCGUCUCUGAGGAAAGUCCGAGCUCCGCAGGGCAGGGUGCCGGGUAACGCCCGGCGGGGGGAGAAUCCCUUCGAGGAAAGUGCAACAGAGAUAUACCGCCGCUGCCAAGCGGUAAGGGUGGAAAGGUGAGGUAAGAGCUCACCGGCAGUCAGGUAACUGGCUGGCCCUGCAAACCCCACCUGGAGCAAGACCAAAUAGAGGAACGAUGGAGCUGCCCGCUCUGUUCCCGGGUAAGGUCGCUUGAGACUGUCGGUAACGACAGUCCUAGAUAGAUGAUCAUCACCUCGCAAGAGGUACAGAACUCGGCUUAUAGGUUGACUUCGCUU